This 253-nucleotide ribosomal RNA is filed under the name uncultured bacterium. Its description in RNAcentral is "partial 16S ribosomal RNA". It matches the Rfam family "Bacterial small subunit ribosomal RNA", at positions 524 to 776 of the family's 1533-position model. The record is from RNAcentral.
UACGGAGGGUGCAAGCGUUAUCCGGAAUCAUUGGGUUUAAAGGGUCCGCAGGCGGAUUUAUAAGUCAGUGGUGAAAGCCUGAUGCUUAACAUCAGAACUGCCAUUGAUACUGUAAGUCUUGAAUUCGAUCGAAGUGGGCGGAAUAUGACAUGUAGCGGUGAAAUGCUUAGAUAUGUCAUAGAACACCGAUAGCGAAGGCAGCUCACUAGGUCUGGAUUGACGCUCAGGGACGAAAGCGUGGGGAGCAAACAGG